Molecule: long non-coding RNA, 397 nt
Organism: Erpetoichthys calabaricus (reedfish)
Lineage: Eukaryota; Metazoa; Chordata; Cladistia; Polypteriformes; Polypteridae
Exons: 3
Source: RefSeq, a predicted model, not a curated record
AAGGCUCAAGCAGCAGAACUCUCAGUCGAAUGAGAUUAACUGACAUGCCAGAACCUCUCGCAAAAAGAAGAGCAAUUGAUGACAUAGCACCUGGACCGUUUGGACUGCAAAAUCAAGAGAACUUAAUUCCUACCAACAUGAAUAUGUCCAGCAGUGGCCCCAGCCAUCAAGAUUGAACGAUUUUGGAGAAUGCGGGACCUGCUGCCACAUGCUGUGCAAUGUCAGAAAUUGGCUUGGACAGAGAACAUCUGUCUUUUCACAGUUAACCUUUCAUCAGCCAGCACAAUGUCUGGGUAAGUCAGGCAAUUUGGGGGGGGGGGCGGUAUGAUGCUGUACAUGUUAACAUUUAUAACUGAGAACAUAGAUAGGUAAAAGGAAAAAAUAAAUAUCUAAUGAA